GGCCCCAUCGUCUAGCGGUCUAGGACGUCACCCUUUCAAGGUGAAGACACGAGUUCGAGUCUCGUUGGGGUCA
This 73-nucleotide transfer RNA is filed under the name Anaerolineae bacterium. RNAcentral describes it as "tRNA-Glu". It matches the Rfam family "tRNA". From Rfam's summary of the family: Transfer RNA (tRNA) molecules are approximately 80 nucleotides in length. Their secondary structure includes four short double-helical elements and three loops (D, anti-codon, and T loops). Lineage: Bacteria; Bacillati; Chloroflexota; Anaerolineae. The record is from RNAcentral.